ACGCUAGCUACAGGCUUAACACAUGCAAGUCGAGGGGCAGCGGGAUUGAAGCUUGCUUCAAUUGCCGGCGACCGGCGCACGGGUGAGUAACGCGUAUCCAACCUUCCGUACACUCAGGGAUAGCCUUUCGAAAGAAAGAUUAAUACCUGAUGGUAUGAUGAGAUUGCAUGAUAGCAUCAUUAAAGAUUUAUCGGUGUACGAUGGGGAUGCGUUCCAUUAGGUAGUAGGCGGGGUAACGGCCCACCUAGCCAACGAUGGAUAGGGGUUCUGAGAGGAAGGUCCCCCACAUUGGAACUGAGACACGGUCCAAACUCCUACGGGAGGCAGCAGUGAGGAAUAUUGGUCAAUGGACGAGAGUCUGAACCAGCCAAGUAGCGUGAAGGAUGAAGGUCCUACGGAUUGUAAACUUCUUUUAUAAGGGAAUAAACCCUCCCACGUGUGGGAGCUUGUAUGUACCUUAUGAAUAAGCAUCGGCUAACUCCGUGCCAGCAGCCGCGGUAAUACGGAGGAUGCGAGCGUUAUCCGGAUUUAUUGGGUUUAAAGGGAGCGCAGACGGGUCGUUAAGUCAGCUGUGAAAGUUUGGGGCUCAACCUUAAAAUUGCAGUUGAUACUGGCGUCCUUGAGUGCGGUUGAGGUGUGCGGAAUUCGUGGUGUAGCGGUGAAAUGCUUAGAUAUCACGAAGAACUCCGAUUG
This 693-nucleotide ribosomal RNA is filed under the name uncultured bacterium. RNAcentral's name for it is "bacterial SSU rRNA". It matches the Rfam family "Bacterial small subunit ribosomal RNA", at positions 33 to 715 of the family's 1533-position model. The record is from RNAcentral.